Small nucleolar RNA from Nematolebias whitei (Rio pearlfish), 216 nucleotides. RefSeq annotates it as small nucleolar RNA U3. The record is from RefSeq and is a predicted model, not a curated record. NCBI's taxonomy places the organism in Eukaryota, Metazoa, Chordata, Actinopteri, Cyprinodontiformes, Rivulidae. The transcript has a single exon.
AAGACUAUACUUUCAGGGAUCAUUUCUAUAGUUUCUAACUUGAGAAAUGUGUUUCUAAAGGGUCUGGUCUCGCCAACCACGAUGAAGAGUCGUGAUAUUCUUCUCUGAGCGUGAAGCGGAUAGAGAUUAAUGAUUCAUUUCAUAUGAUCUUUAUCAUUGAUGAUUGUUCUUUGCUUCGUUUGUGAGCAAUGAGGAGAGGAAUAUGAUCAGAGUGGU